This 478-nucleotide long non-coding RNA is filed under the name Homo sapiens (human). RNAcentral describes it as "HSALNT0341219". The record is from RNAcentral. Lineage: Eukaryota; Metazoa; Chordata; Mammalia; Primates; Hominidae.
AUCCAAUGGGGUGUUCUUGGGGUACAGAGGAGGAUCUGUGACAGUCCAGAGAGAGAGAAAGGAAAAGGUGGCUUUGAAGAGAAGGCGUUGUAACAUCUCACUAAGCCCAGCACUCAGGCGAUGUGGCUUUCCUGCUAUGGCACUGCACACAAGAAGAAUGUUGACAUAUUCCUGGCCCAGAAUUCAGGUGGUUUGGUGACUCUCAAACCAUGAUUCAGCAGACCUGUGAGGCUGUGAGUUCCCUAUCAGAACACAAUCUGCAGGUUGUAUUGUGCCAUAUACCUGGGACCAAAUUACAAGCACAAUGAUGAAUCUUUUACCUGGAGUCAAGACAUGGGCAGGAUGAUGGAACUUAUCACUGGACCUUUCCACAGUGUUAUUGUGACAUAUGCCUUUGCCCAACAUGUGGUGAUUUGACUCCCCAGACUGGGUCCAGUUCACAAAUAAAAUUGUGCCGUAUACUUGGCCAAGAACCUAA